AAGACUAUACUUUCAGGGAUUAUUUCAGAUAAACUUCUAGAGUUUCUCUGAACCUGUAGAGCACCAGAAACCAUGAAAAGAGGGUGUAGCAUUCUCUCCUGCGUGUGAGGCCGGCUCUUGGUGCUGCUACCUCACUGAAACUGCCAUUGCCACUGAUGAUCAUUCUUCUCUUACUCUGAGAGAGAAAGAGAGAGAGAAUACAGUCUGAGUGGU
This 213-nucleotide small nucleolar RNA is filed under the name Pan troglodytes (chimpanzee). It matches the Rfam family "Small nucleolar RNA U3". From Rfam's summary of the family: Small nucleolar RNAs (snoRNAs) are involved in the processing and modification of rRNA in the nucleolus. There are two main classes of snoRNAs: the box C/D class, and the box H/ACA class. Lineage: Eukaryota; Metazoa; Chordata; Mammalia; Primates; Hominidae. The record is from RNAcentral.